UUCACGAAUAUACCUUCAUAAUCGAAAAAAAUAAAUUACAAUAUGGGCAUCGUUAUUCGUCGGUUGAAGAUUACUUCGCGUUGUUUGUCUUGCUUUAUGCAUUUAUCGUUUGUGAUUCCAUUUUAUAUUUGGAGAUCCUCCAUCUCAUGCAUUUGUGAUUUGUCACAAGCAGACAGCUGGCUCCACGCAGGCGAGUGAUGGUUUGGUUUGCUUAAUCGAUUUGUUCAGAGCUGUUGGCGACUGUCGUGUAGUGAUGUUGGAUGACGACGAGCAUGGACGAGGGAUCAUCCCAGCACAUGGCGUGGAAAGCAAGAGCUUUUCAUUCUUUCUUGAUAAAAAGCAAGAACGAUUGUGUUUUAAGGAUCCUUUCGUUGCUUUCCCAUUGAUCCAGCAUGUCAUCAUGCUUCAAGGCGAAGACACCACCAGUAACACACAGUGACUAGAAAAGAAGACAGUCAAAAAAAGCAGCACGUCAGGUGAAAAGUAAUGUUAACGCCUCCCUCUCUCUCUCUCUCUGACAGAUCCUUUUUCUACACGAGCACUGUUCCUGUAAGGGUGUUCUGAUGUACAAGGAAAACAAUGUCAAUAUUAUUAUAUUAUGCAUCUUUUGAUCUCA
Populus nigra (black poplar) is the source of this 616-nucleotide long non-coding RNA. RefSeq lists it as uncharacterized. The record is from RefSeq and is a predicted model, not a curated record. The transcript has 2 exons. NCBI's taxonomy places the organism in Eukaryota, Viridiplantae, Streptophyta, Magnoliopsida, Malpighiales, Salicaceae.